UGAAACAAUAAAAUUGUUCACAGGUACUAACUAAGUGAUAAGGCAUCCUUUAACAUCGAAUUGUGAGGAGAUGAGGCAUCACAUGGUGAAGGAGUGCAGAGGCCCCUCUGCCACCAGUUUCAGAGAUGUAUCCUUGUGUCAAGAUUCCCUUAUAUCAACUCACAUGUUAAAAGAAUUAAUUACCUACCCCUUUAGGAUACGACUAAUGACCUCAUACCGUCAGAUGCAUAUACGUGUCCCACAUCCAACGGUGCCCUUUGUCUAUAAACACCAAAGGCUUGAUAAGAGAUAAGGGAUUACUUCUCUACUUCAUAUCACCCCCGCUGGUAUUGGCCGUAUAUGUCUGACCAUUCAUUAUUGUGCAUAGGGAGGACAUGGAGUGGCUCUCGAUUGACCGCAUGAAGAGUCGAAUUUGCGAGGUCAACGGUAACUAUAGUAUAUAGCUUGGAAAUGGGAAAAUUUGCUUACAAACUCAAAUACAGCCACAAUCAAGCAUCACGAUUAACUCCGUGACUUGACUCUUGUCGUGCCCAACAAGUACAUUAGUCUAGAAAUUAGAACAUUAAAUCAUCUCCUAGCAUGGUUGGAGAAUUUUGUGUUUGAGGCCCACAAGAAACUAAGAAAAUUGAAACAUAAAGGUUUCAUUACUACUUCAAAGAGUUCACGACCUUUAUGCUUCAAAUCCCAAGGCAUGUCGAAAAAUGUCUUGCUAUUCUCUUUCAUGGAUGGUUGUGCAACAUAGGUGUGGCAAAAAUUCCAAAGGAGUACGAAGACGCAAGCAAAGGACCUUCAAACCAACCAAAGGAAAUUUUGGUGAAGGCCCCUGGCAUAAGCCGAAUUGGAGACCAAAUCCCAAAGCCAUUCAAUUGGAGGAAGGUUUAUGCUGACAAAAAUGUAAUUUUGCUCCUAGUGGUUGAUUCAAAUAUGCAAAGGGCCGCAUCUCAUGCGGGAUUGUCCUAAUCUAUGAUCAUUGGCAUCCAUCUCGAGGAACAAACUGGAGGUCAUAGAUAGCGGAUGAAGUUCAGAUGAAUUCAUUCCAAUUGUUUAAUAUAAGGACAUGAUGCCAACAGAUUUGUCGAGGGAACUACCACAAAGGAGAGAAAGUGAUAAUGUUCAAUUGCUAUAGGAGGCAAGCAAAAAUAUCUGUAGUAGGGAUCGCAAUUUGAGAAAACACAAGAACUAACUAUGGAAGGGAACACAGGCAGGACCAGCAUAGUCAUUAUAGUAGGGGGGACGUGGAAAGGAAAAAAUUCAAGCAAAUUGGGCAGGCUCAGCAGCUUAGGAACGUAAGUAGCAACACAUGCAGAUUAAAUAAACAAAACACAAGCAAAAAUUGCAAUCGGGCUAGGUAGGCAGGAC
This 1359-nucleotide long non-coding RNA is filed under the name Olea europaea subsp. europaea. Lineage: Eukaryota; Viridiplantae; Streptophyta; Magnoliopsida; Lamiales; Oleaceae. The record is from RNAcentral.